AACGGGAGCUUCGGCUCCAGUGGGCGGACGGGUGAGUAACGCGUGAGAAUCUACCUUCAGGAUGGGGACAACCGUUGGAAACGACGGCUAAUUCCCAAUGUGCCGAGAGGUGAAAGGUUUCGACCGCCUGAAGAGGAGCUCGCGUCCGAUUAGUUUGUUGGUGGGGUAAGAGCUCACCAAGGCAGCGAUCGGUAGCUGGUCUGAGAGGAUGAGCAGCCACACUGGGACUGAGACACGGCCCAGACUCCUACGGGAGGCAGCAGUGGGGAAUUUUCCGCAAUGGGCGAAAGCCUGACGGAGCAACGCCGCGUGUGGGAAGAAGGCUCUUGGGCUGUCAACCACUUUUCUCAGGGAAGAAGUUCUGACGGUACCUGAGGAAUCAGCCUCGGCUAACUCCGUGCCAGCAGCCGCGGUAAUACGGAGGAGGCAAGCGUUAUCCGGAAUUAUUGGGCGUAAAGCGUCCGCAGGGGGCUCAUCAAGUCUGCUGUUAAAGGUCGGAGCUUAACUCCGAUACAGCAGUGGAAACUGAUGGGCUAGAGGGCGACAGGGGUAGAGGGAAUUCCCAGUGUAGCGGUGAAAUGCGUAGAGAUUGGGAAGAACACCGGUGGCGAAAGCGCUCUACUGGGUCGCACCUGACCCUCAGGGACGAAAGCUAAGGGAGCGAAAGGGAUUAGAUACCCCUGUAGUCUUAGCUGUAAACGAUGGAUACUAGGGCGUGGGUUGUAUCGACCCAAGGCCGUGCCGAAGCUAACGCGUUAAGUAU
Molecule: ribosomal RNA, 763 nt
Filed under: uncultured bacterium
Lineage: Bacteria
Description: bacterial SSU rRNA
Rfam family: Bacterial small subunit ribosomal RNA
Source: RNAcentral